Molecule: ribosomal RNA, 469 nt
Filed under: uncultured bacterium
Lineage: Bacteria
Description: bacterial SSU rRNA
Rfam family: Bacterial small subunit ribosomal RNA
Source: RNAcentral
UCGAGAAUCUUCGGCAAUGGGCGCAAGCCUGACCGAGCGACGCCGCGUGUGGGAUGAAGGCCUUCGGGUUGUAAACCACUGUCAGAGGGGAUGAAAUGCAGGUGGGUUCUCCCAUCUGUUUGACAUAGCCUCAGAGGAAGGACGGGCUAAGUUCGUGCCAGCAGCCGCGGUAAGACGAACCGUCCAAACGUUAUUCGGAAUUACUGGGCUUAAAGGGUGCGUAGGCGGCGCGGAAAGUUGGGUGUGAAAUCCCUCGGCUCAACCGAGGAACUGCGCCCAAUACUACCGUGCUUGAGGGAGAUAGAGGUGAGCGGAACUUAGGGUGGAGCGGUGAAAUGCGUUGAUAUCCUAAGGAACACCGGUGGCGAAAGCGGCUCACUGGAUCUCUUCUGACGCUGAGGCACGAAAGCUAGGGUAGCGAACGGGAUUAGAUACCCUUGUAGUCCCUGAGCGGGCUGGCAAGGCGCAU